AUGUGGAAUGCUUACACUAUAGGCAUGAGAAGCACACAAUUAAGUGAGAGCUUGAACAGGGACUUGAAAGACCAUCUAAAGUCUGAUCUUGACAUCCUUCGGUUUUUCAAGCACGUAGAGAGGGUUGUGCAAGGGAAAAGAGAUAACGAGGUAAAUGAGGAAUAUGAGUCUAGGAAAAAAUUACCUAGAGUCAGAAUGAGGACUCCUAUGGUAAUACAAGCGAGCAAAGUUUACACACCACGCAUAUUUGAAGAUUUUCAGAAUGAAUAUGAAAGAUCUAUCUCAGCAUACAUCAAGCCAUCGAUAGAACACAAUGCAUAUAUUGUUGCAAUUGCAAGUCUUGACCCAGAAUUCACAUAUGAAGAAGAGUGCAAAGUUGUAGUUGAUUAUGAAGAGCAAAAAGUUUUCUGCGAUUGUGGGAAAUUUGAAAGAGUUGGUAUAUUGUGUAGUCAUGCUUUGAAAGCACUUGAUGUCAUGAAUAUUAAGUACCUUCCAGGCCACUAUAUUCUGAAGCGAUGGACUAGAGAAGCGCGAAGCGGCACUAUACAAAACAGCCAUGGAAACAUUGUUUUGGAAGAUCCUAGAUCAGAUGAUAGACAACAGCUGAAGUUUUUCAUGCACGAGUUCCUUGGCAUAGCUUCACAAGCAGUUACAUCAGAAGAGUGUAUCAAACUAGUAGAUGAUGCUUUGAAGAAUCUCAGGAAGCAAGUUGAAGAGAAAGCUCGUACUACUACGUGCAGAACUGAAGAUAUAUCUAAAGAACCAGACGAUUGUUUAAAGGAUGCUUGCCUAAAGAAAAAGGAAAUUCCAAAGAAAAAUUCAAGAAGAAAGAAAUCAUGGCUUGACAAUCAGCACCCAAAUAAAAAGAAGAAGGAGACAACUAAAGCGGUACCCAAAAAUCAAAAUCAUUGUGUAAAUCUCUUGCACCUGUCUAACCGGACUACUUAUUAA
This 951-nucleotide ribosomal RNA is filed under the name Triticum aestivum (bread wheat). RNAcentral describes it as "partial small subunit ribosomal RNA". Lineage: Eukaryota; Viridiplantae; Streptophyta; Magnoliopsida; Poales; Poaceae. The record is from RNAcentral.